UACGGAGGGUGCUAGCGUUGUUCGGAAUUACUGGGCGUAAAGGCGCGUAGGCGGCCGUUUGCGUCGGAUGUGAAAGCCCGGGGCUCAACCUCGGAACGGCAUUCGAUACGGGACGGCUGGAGACCGGGAGAGGAGAGUGGAAUAGCCAGUGUAGAGGUGAAAUUCGUAGAUAUUGGCUGGAACACCGGUGGCGAAAGCGGCUCACUGGCCCGGUACUGACGCUGAGGUGCGAAAGCGUGGGGAGCAAACAGG
This 252-nucleotide ribosomal RNA is filed under the name uncultured bacterium. RNAcentral's name for it is "partial 16S ribosomal RNA". It matches the Rfam family "Bacterial small subunit ribosomal RNA", at positions 524 to 776 of the family's 1533-position model. The record is from RNAcentral.